Molecule: long non-coding RNA, 20688 nt
Filed under: Brassica napus (rape)
Lineage: Eukaryota; Viridiplantae; Streptophyta; Magnoliopsida; Brassicales; Brassicaceae
Description: long non-coding RNA (BNAP_LNC016872)
Source: RNAcentral
UGUUCUUAGUCUCCCAGUACUGGAUUCUAUUUGAUAUGAUUUUCUUACUUCUCAAUCAACAUAAAUAAAGUUACUUCAUUCACCAAGCCUGAUACAAACUUAACAUUCAGAAUACCACUAGCAACACACCACAAAAUAAAAUAAAAACAUAAAUAAAUAAGUACUACCAAAGAUUUAUUCUUUGAUUUAUUCUUGCAAGAACUCAACCCACAAAUCCACCACAACCAACAACUUAGGCCGUGGGCUUGGCAAAGAUCUUCUUAGCAAAUUCAGCUAGAGUUGCAGUCUCGGGCAUGACAGGUUUCACAGCAGGAUCGUUACAGAACCUCAGUUUUCGUUAUUUUCUAAGCAUACCUGAGACCAGAACGUUAAGAUUAGACAACGAAACUGCUAAUGUAACUACGAGUAAGCAAGUCAUCAAAGUUUUUGUAGAACCCAUACUGAUUUUUUUGAAUGCAACCAAGCCAAGAAGCACCCGAAUGCAAUGUCGAGGUAACCGAUGUGUUCACCGUUAAAGAAUGGUUUUCCUUUGCUGCAAUCGAUGAAGGCCUUCUCGAGAAGCGCGUUCCCUUCUUCCACUUGAGCUAACACCGCUUUCUUCUCUUCUUCUCCCUCAGCUUUUAGGAUACUUUUUAGAGAGGGAAACCACUUCAUUCAUGUUCAAUGUCAUCACAUAGAAAACAUACGAUUAUCUCAUGACAUGAAACUAUUAAUAAAACUUGUGGAUCAGGUAAAAGGGGGGGAACCUUUUCGUCAAUGUAGGCCGCCCAGAACCGAGCGAUGGCUCGAUCAUAAGGAGUGGAAGGUAGCAUGGACGGUCCAGAUGCGCUCCAAGUCUCAUCAACAUACUCAACGAUGAUGUUAGACUCACAAACCGGUUUGUCAGCAUGAAGGAGAACCGGAAUCUUCUUGUGAACCGGGUUUGAUUUAAGAAGCAACUCGCUCUUUGCUCCAAACGUCUCCUGGAGGAACUCGUAGGGAACAGACUUGAGGUUCAGAGCGAUCCUCGGCCUCAUCACAAAAGGACUCGCCCAUGCGCCGAUCACCUUCACUUCAUCGGUAGCCAUUUUCUCUUCAAGAUCAAGAACAGAGAGAAGGACUUGGUUAAACACGUUGAAGCUUUAGUGGUAAAUCGUAGGGCAUUAUAUGGAAGGGAAGAGGGGGUAGGUAAGGUCGUAACGUAAGGCUUUCGGAAUUUCAUGGAGGUGAAGAAGCACCAGUAAAGUUUGACAUGUGUCUUAUACGGUUGGGAAAACGUUUAAAUGUUGGUCCAUCACUUUAUUAGGGGCGAGCGUUACAUAUUCACAUUGUUAGGAUGCGUGGUGUGAACUGAAACCAUUAACACACCGACAACUGUGUUCAUCUUCACGUGUUCACAUUUGUAUUUCAUGCAUAGAUAGCUUUCUCUCAAUGGGACCAUUUAAGAUCUUUGUACUUAUAUAAUUAAGUUAAUAUAUGUCUUGUUUUGACGAGUUACGAUAUUGAUAUAUAUUGUGAAACAAGUGAAACUAUAUUUAAAGGAUAGUUACGUUACAUACAAUUAAUUAUACAAAUCUACCAUUCGAGUAAAUUCACUUAUCCAAACACACAUGUCAUAUUCUCAUUUAGUAUUGAUAAAUAAUAAUAAUCAUUUUUAGUUGCUCUGUAUAUACGUACAUUUAAUAUUUGUGUUGGCUAGUCAUGUUUUCUGUAUUUGUACUGAGUGCAUUUUUUAAAUAAUUUAGAGCAUUUCCAAAAAUGAACUUCAAAAUUUUAAAUUUGGAGUUUUGAAUAGUGAUUCAUAUUUUUAUUUAUAUUUUGGUCUUUAUAAUUAAUUGUACAUCAUAUUUAUGAUUUUUAAGUAUUUUUUCAUUUAUAUUUUUAAUCUUUAAAACUUUUGUAUAUCAUAAAUAUUUCAAAUUUAUUUUAAUAAAUUCAAAAUUUUACACAUAAAAUUAAAUAAAAAUUUUAAAAUAAGGUUUGUAAUAUUCUUAGGAGAAAGCAACACAAGUUAAUAUACUUAUGUUUCUCUUGCACCAUCAACACAGAAUCAACGAACCCCAAGUUCUACUUAAUUAGGAUCUUUUGUGUCUUUGACAUCCAUUAUUAUUAAAAAAAUGUUAAAAAAAUACAUCAUUCGUAGAGAAACAAAAUGUUAAAUAAAUUAUUUAGAAAAUCUUAUAUGAUAACUUCUUUUCAUAUUUAUUUUCUUCUUUAUAUUAUUUUGAUUAUAAAAUAUUCAUAUUAGAUGUUCUUUUUUUUUUUUUUGGAACACAAACUUUCAUUCAAACUUAAACUCCAAAAUGAGAGUUCAUUACAGCAACUGCAGAGAGCAGAGCAUUCUUUGCUACUGAAUCAGAGAUAUUGUUUUUGUCCCUAGGGAUCCAACUGAAGUAAACAGCAUCAAGAAGGGAACUUAGAACUAAGAUAUCAGCAACUAAACCAUAAAUCUCUGGUGGGGGGGUGUCCUCCAUUGACUGCUUGGAUUAAUUGUCUAGAGUCCGAUUCAAAGUGAAGUCUUCGGCGGUUCAGAGAAAAACUCAUAGUGAUAGCUUCCCGUAGAGCCAGUGCUUCUUAGUUUUCACUUUUCAGUGCUGGAUUUUAUGAGACAUCAUUUUCUUACUUCUCAAUCAACAUAAAAAAAAUUACUUCAUUCACCAAGACUGAUACUACAAACUUAACAUUCAAAAUACACUUACCAACAUACCAAAAGUAAAAUUAAAACAUAAAUAAAUAAGUACCAUCACUCUCAUUUUAUUUUUUCAAGAACUCAACCCACAGUUCCACGAGGACCACAGCCAUCAGCUUAGGCCGGCGGCUUGGCAAAGAUCUUCUUAGCGAACUCAGCUAGAGUUGCAGUCUCGGGCAUGACAGGUUUCACAGCAGGAUCAUUACAGAACCUGUCAGCCCAUUUGGACAGAGAAGGAGUCUUGACCUCAUCGAUAAGUUUAUGACCACCUGCCAACUCGGUGACUCUCAACCAAGCCAAGAAGCACCCGAAUGCAAUGUCGAGGUAACCGAUGUGUUCACCGUUGAAGAACGCUUUUCCUUUGCUGCAAUCGUUGAAGGCCUUCUCGAGAAGCGCGUUCCCUUCUUCCACUUGAGCUAACACCGCUUUCUUCUCUUCUUCUCCCUCAGCUUUUAGGAUACUUUUUAGAGAGGGAAACCACUUCAUUCGUGUUCAAUGUCAUCACAUAGAAAACAUACGCUUAUCUCAUGACAUGAAACUAUAAAUAAAACUUGUGGAUCAGGUAAAAGAGGGGGAACCUUUUCGUCAAUGUAGGCCGCCCAGAACCGAGCGAUGGCUCGAUCAUAAGGAGUGGAAGGUAGCAUGGACGGUCCAGAUGCGCUCCAAGUCUCAUCAACAUACUCAACGAUGAUGUUAGACUCACAAACCGGUUUGUCAGCAUGAAUCAGAACGGGAAUCUUCUUGUGAACCGGGUUUGAUUUAAGAAGCAACUCGCUCUUUGCUCCAAACGUCUCCUGGAGGAACUCAUAGGGAACAGACUUGAGGUUCAGAGCAAUCCUCGGCCUCAUCACAAAAGGACUCGCCCAUGCGCCGAUCACCUUCACUUCGUCGCUAGCCAUUUUCUCUUCAAGAUCAAGAACGGAGGAGGACUUGGUUUAAUGCGUUGAAGCUUUAGUGGUAGAUCGUAGGGCAUUAUAUGGAAGCGAAGAGGGGGUAGGUAAGGUCGUAACGUAAGGCUUUCGAAAUUUCAUGGAGGUGAAGAAGCACCAGUUAAAGUUUGACACGUUUCUUAAACGGUUGGGAAAACGUUGAAGUGUUGGUCCAUCACUUUAUUAGGGGCGAGCGUUACAUAUUCACAUUGUUCGGAUGCGUGGUGUGAACUUAAACACACCGACUAUUGUUUCACAUUCGCGUGUUCACAUUUGUACUUCAUGCAUAGAUAGCUUUCUCUCAAUGGGACCAUUUAAGAGCUUUGUACAAUUGUACUUAUAUAAUAAUUAAGUUAACUAGGAUAAUACCUGCGCUCUGCGCAGUGUGAAUUUAUUUUUAUAUAUUAUCGAUAGUUUCUUUUAUAUAUUUGAUCAUUUUAUUUAUAUAUAUAAAAUAUUUUUUGUUGUUAUUAUAUAAUUUUUUUCCGGUGGAUCAGAUCAAUUUUUAUUAAAAAUAAUGGAACAAAACUAUAAUUAAUACAUCAUGGGUUGAUCGGAUUGGACAUUAAACAAAUUAUGACAUAAAAACCUUAUUUUUUCCAUCGAACACAUUCUUGAAAAAAGUGAACAGUAUUGUUUUUACAGUUGAAUUAUUUUGACUUUUAUCUUCCAUAUGGUUUUGAAAGCUUUCAAAUCAACCAUCGAAUUGAUACAUGUCAUUUUAAUGUUUUAGUCGUAUACUUAAGGAAAACUUACAUUUUUGUAAUUUAAAGUCGUUUUAAAAAAUUCAAAAUAUAACAUAUAAGAAAAAAUCUAACAUAUAAGAAAAAUAUAACAUAUAAGUUGUCCUCAUUUUUGUAUUUUAAAGUCGUUUUAAAAAAAUAUAUAACAUAUAAGGUUUCCUCGUUUUUGUAAUUUAAAGUCAUUUUAAAAAAUUCAAAAUAUAACAUAUAAGAAAAAAUCUAAUUUUUUAUUAUAUGGUUAAUGUGAUUGUUUACUUUUUUUAAUAAUAAAAAAUUAAACAAAAUGAAGAAGGAUGCAAAAGUUGUUAUCAAAUCUUUAUUAUUCAUAAUCAUUAAUUGUCAUAUAUAUGUUGCAAAAGUUGUUAUCAAAUCUUUAUUAUUCAUAAUCAUUAAUUAUCAUAUAUAUAUGUAAAUCAUAUUAGGUAAUUCUGUAACUUUUAUUUAAGGAAAGAAUACACACUUCUUAUAUUUUAGGUUAAUAUAAUGUUCUCUAGUGGACAUUAAACAAAUUAUGACAUAAAAACCUUAUUUUUUUCCUCGAACACAUUCUUGAAAAAGUGAACAGUAUUGUUUUCACAGUUAAAUUAUUUUGACUUUUAUCUUACAUAUGGUUUUGAAAGCUUUCAAAUCAACCAUCGAACUUAUACAUGUCAUUUUAAUGUUUUUAGUCGUAUACUUAAGGAAAACUUACAUUUUUGAAAUUUAAAGUCGUUUUAAAAAAUUCAAAAUAUAACAUAUAAGAAAAAAUCUAACAUAUAAGAAAAAUGUAACAUAUAAGGUGUCCUCAUUUUUUAUUUUAAAGUCUUUUUUAAAAAAAUAUAACAUAUAAGGUUUCCUCAUUUUUGUAAUUUAAAGUCAUUUUAAAAAAUUCAAAACAUAACAUAUAAGAAAAAAUCUAUUUUUUAUUAUAUGGUUCAUGUGAUUGUUUAUUUUUUAAUAAUAUAAAUUAAACAAAAAUGAAGAAGAAUGCAAAAAUUGUUAUCAAAUCUUUAUUAUUCAUAAUCAUUAAUUAUCAUAUAUAUAUGUAAAUCAUAUUAGGUAAUUCUGUAACUUUUAUUUAAGGAAAGAAUACACACUUCUUAUAUUUUAGGUUAAUAUAAUGUUCUCUAGUGGACAUUAAACAAAUUAUGACAUACAAACCUUAUUUUUUCCAUCGAACACAUUCUUGAAAAAAGUGAACAGUAUUGUUUCCACAGUUAAAUUAUUUUGACUUUUAUCUUCCAUAUGGUUUUGAAAGCUUUCAAAUCAACCAUCGAAUUGAUACAUGUCAUUUUAAUGUUUUUAGUCGUAUACUUAAGGAAAACUUACAUUUUUGUAAUUUAAAGUCAUUUUUAAAAAAUUCAAAAUAUAACAUAUAAGAAAAUUCUAACAUAUAAGAAAAAUAUAACAUAUAAGAUGUCUUCAUUUUUGUAUUUUAAAGUCAUUUUAAAAAGAAAUAUAUAACAUAUAAGGUUUCCACUUUUUUUGUAUUUUAAAGUCAUUUUAAAAAAUUCAAAAUAUAACAUAUAAGAAAAAAUCUAAUUUUUUUAUUAUAUGGUUAAUGUGAUUGUUUAUUUUUUUUAAUAAUAUAAAUUUAAACAAAAAUGAAGAAGGAUGCAAAAAUUGUUAUCAAAUCUUUAUUAUUCAUAAUCAUUAAUUGCCAUAUAUAUGUAAAUCAUAUUAGGUAAUUCCGUAACUUUUAUUUAAGGAAAGAAUACACACUUCCUAUAUUUUAGGUUAAUAUAAUGUUCUCUAGUGUUAUAUAAUUAUGGAAUAAUGUGACACCAUUAGAUUAAACUAUACUUUAUAUUAGAUGCUUUAGAAUUCUUUGAAAUGAAAUUUAGAAGGCAUUUAGAGUGCCACCUAGGAUUUGGGGUUUUUUUUAAUUAAUACAAAAUUAAGGUUCUAAUUUUUCAAAUACUUCUCAAUUAAUAUAUAGGGGAUAUAUGUCUUGGUUUUAACGAUUUACGAUAUUGUAAAACAAGUGAAACUAUAUUUAAAGAAUAGUUACAUGCAAUUACACAAAACUACCAUUCUAGUGAAUUCAAUUAUCCAAACACACGUGUCACAUUCUCAUUCAGUAUUGAUAAAUAAUAAUAAUCAUUUUUAGUUUGCUCUAUAUAUAUACGUACAUUUAAUAUUUGUGUUGGCUAGUCAUGUUUUCUAUAUUUGUAUUGAAUGCAUUUUCUAAUAACUUUUUUUGAUAAAGAACUUAGACCAUCAUUAUCCACGGUUUCUUAGAGCAGGGUUCUUAGAAAAAUAUUUUCUUAGAGCAGGGUUCUUAGGAAAAUAUAAGAACAGUUUCUUAAUUCACUUAUCCAAACACACGUGUCACAUUCCAUUCAGUAUUGAUAAAUAAUAAUAAUCAUUUUUAGUUUGCUAUAUACAUAUAUACACGUACAUUUAAUAUUUGUGUUGGCUAGUCAUGUUUUCUAUAUUUGCACUGAAUGCAUUUUCUAAUAACUUUUUUUUGAUAAAGAACUUAGAUCAUCAUUAUCCACGGUUUCUUAGGGCAGAAUUCUUAGGAAAAUAUAAAAAAUUGUUUCUUAAUUUUCAACUAAAAAGUUAAGAAACAAUUUCUUAAUUUUUUAGUUGAAAAUUAAGAAACAGUUUCUUAUAUUUCCCUGAGAACUCCGCCCUAAGAAACCGUGGAUAAUGAUGCUCUUAUAAGAUAUAGGUAAGUCAGAGCAUGUUUAUUGCAUAUCUCUUAGAUUGGAGUUCUUAACGUAAUAUAAGAUACGGUCUCUUAGCUUUUAACUAAAAAAACUAAGAAACGUCUCUUAAAUAAAAGAUAUAAGAGACGUCUCUUAACUUUUAUAUCAUAUGUUAUAUUACGUUAAAAACCUCAACCUAAGAGACCUACAAUAAACAUGCUCUUAGGGCAUCAUUAUUGGAGGGAUUUGAUUAAGGGCCCUUAGCAUUGUUUAUUAUUAUUUUUGUGUUAAGGAACUAAGCUAAAGGCUUUUGUAUAAGUAGCUGAUUAUUGGUGGGACUUUACUUGUCCCUUACUUAGUUAAAUUGAUUAUUUUCAUUAAUAGUAUAUAAAAGCAAACAAACAUUUUAUUCGAGUAAUAAAAACUUAUAAAUCAGAAGUUAUUUGGAAGAUGUCCAAAUUUAGCCCAUAUAUUAUCAAUCAAAUCAUUUUGUAAUUUGUGAUGGGCUUGUGUAUUCCGAACACUCGUUCGACGAUCAAUUAUAUUACCGAGAUGUGAAGGCAUAUUGACGGAAAAUGUAUCCACAUCUUCUCUUUCUUGGAAUUCAUCAACGUCAUACUGAGUGGAUGAUGAUCGUUCAUCUUCGACAAUCAUAUUAUGGAGAAUGAUACAUGCUCUCAUAAUAGUUGCAAUCUUCUCUUUAUCCCAUAACUGAGAUGGGUUUCGGACUACGGCAAAUCUAGCUUGCAGGACUCCAAAGGCACGCUCGACAUCUUUUCUCACAGCUUCUUGGGUUUGAGCAAAUAAUGAAUUCUUCUGACCUUGUGGUAGUCGGAUAUACCGUCCGUGAGAUAAUAUGCCAAAUGAUACUGAUUACCAUUCACAUAGAAAUUUACUUCUGGGGCUAUUCCGUUAAUAAUGUCGUCAAAAACGGGUGAUCGAUCAAGAAUAUUAAGGUCGUUCAUAGUACCUGGAGCUCCAAAAAACGCGUGCCAUAUCCAGAGGUCAUAUGAAGCUACGGCCUCCAAUACAAUUGUUGGUUUAUUGGUUCCACGCGAAUACAUUCCUUUCCAAGCGGUUGGACAGUUCUUCCACUCCCAAUGCAUACAGUCGAUGCUUCCAACCAUUCCGGGAAACCCACGUUGUUCUCCAAUAUAUAAUAGUCUUUCCAGAUCCUCCGGUGUGGGACGUCUUAGAUAUUCCUCGCCAAACAAUUGGACUAUUCCCGCGGUAAAAUGGUGCAAACAUUUUCGAGCUGUUGUUUCACCAAGCCGGACAUAUUCGUCAACUGUAUCAGACCCACCACCAUACGCCAAUUGUCUAAUUGCUGCGGUACAUUUUUGGAGCGGAGAAAGACUAGACCGUCCGGUUGCAUCUUCUCUUGGUUGAAAGUAUUCUAUUUCAUUAGACAUACGAUGCAUAAUACGCAAGAACAAGGUCUUGUUCAUUCGAAACCGUCUUCGGAAUAUGUUGUGCGGGUAUGUUGGAGUUUCACAAAAGUAAUCGUUCCAAAGCUUCGUGUGGCCUUCUUCUCGGUUUCUCUCGAUAUGUAUACGUGGUUUUCUCUUUUUUGGUUCGGGAAUGAAAUUAGGAUUUUCAAAUAUAUCUUCAAACAUAGAAUCAAAUUCAUGAUCAUCAUCUUUGUGGUAAUGAUAAUGUGAAGAAGAAGCCAUUGAAAAUUUAUAAAAGAGAUUGAAAUUUCUAAAAGAGAAUUAAAAGAGAGAAUGUGUUAUGAUGAGGAGAAGUAAUGCAUUGUAUGUGAGAAGUAUGAUCUAUAUAUGCUACAUUGUCGGGUGUGAAAGCAUGACAGUUUGUUCACGAGCAUUACUGUUUGCUCACGAGCAGUUCAGUGUGCUCACAGACUGAAGACGGACAAGUCAAAGACUCAUCAUGUCACGAGUUCUUUUGUGUUAGAAAAGUUACGAGUCAAAGCAGUGAUAGGAAAGUGUCACAGACUUAACAAAACAUGAGUUACAUGAGAUGACUUAUAAUAAAACUUAAUAUUCCACAACAAGCAAAAAAAAUUACAAACAAAUAAGCAUCUCUAAACCAGUCAUACUAAAGCUUCACCACGCUAGAAGAAUCAGUUCCGAAAGAGAAGCACCACUCCUACUAAAACUACUAGAAGAACCAUUACCUCGAGAAAGAACUCAAACCCAUAGCUAACCUUAGAUUUCUCCUUAGCUAAAUCAUACACCAUCUUCUCUAGAAUGCCUAGCUUCUGCUCAGUCUCGUAGUCAGACAAAAGGGCAAGACUGUCGACCUUUUCAGACAGUAGAAGAAUGUGUCUAUCUCUGUCUCGCAGCUCCUCCAUCAAUGCAUCAUCCCACCAUUUCCAUACGUGACACUCCCCAUCAUCUACAUUCGGACAAGUGUAGUAUCGCCUACCUAUUUCGCGAGAAGAUGUUGCAAGUAGUGGCUGAGCGCCACAGUAGCAUCUCUGCGGGAUGCCAAAGUCUACCUCGGGUUCCGGAGGGUACUGCACCGGUGAACCUCUUUGUAAGCUUAUCUCCUCUUGGUCACGUCGAAUUAAGUCAUCAGUCUCGUUGUAGCCACUGUCCACAGAGUUGCAAAAUAAGUCCUCCGAGUCCGAAGGCUGACUAUAGUUGUAGUCAAGUCCCAUGUUCCUCUUAUCCUGCAGAAAAUGUCAACUACUUAUUAGAAUCAUGUUUUAGCAAGAACAUUUGUAGUUGUUUAAAAAGAGACAAAGCAAGACAUUUUAUAUAUAUUAUUAAACAGCCUUAGUUUAUAUAAUUCCACGGUUAUUUAAAGAGACGUUCUGAUUAGAUUAAACAAGCAUAUAAAAAGACAUACAUAAAAACAGAGAUUUUAUGGAGGAAAAACAUAAAACAUAGAAUUAAAAGGACAAAGAAAAAACUAUUAAAAAGACAAAUAUAAAACAUAGAACAUGAUAUCUAAUUCUUCAGAAGUACGCAGCUAAGAGUUUAUUCUUCACAACUUCUUAUGCCUCAGUUAAUGGCUCCGACUUUUGGAGGAGAGUAUCCAGUAUAGCCAACUUAGUGAGCCUCUCCUUCAUGGCCAAAUCCUCCUUCUUCAUUUCUCAUAGGGUGGUGUACUCAGCAACAGACUUCCCUUGACCAGUGUUCCUUUUCGAUUUAGCAGCCUUGAUACCUUCAGGCCGGGUCUCAUGAUCACCAUUCUCGUUGGUUGACGUUUCAGAUGGUGUUUCACCAUUUUUCCUCUUUGAGCUUCCUUUUGGUGUGUUGAGGCUGAGCCAUUUCUGCUCAUACCUCAACACACACCACACAUGCUCGAGGUUGAACUUGGUUCUCUAAUCAGCGUAGAAGAUGUCAUGAGCCCUCUUGAGAACAUCAGUGUCACUCUCACCACUGCUAAUUUGCCUCUCUGCUGUGGCAUAAGCGCCGCAGAACUUGUUCACGUGAUCGUUUAUCCUAGCCCACCUCUUCUUACAAUGAAGAUGCUCUCUCUUUUCACCAUCCCCUACUCCGUGAGGACUUGUUGUGUAAUACUCAGCAACACGUUGCCAGAAGGUGAGUGACUUCUGCUGAUUUCCAACUACAGCAUCCUUGGAAGUGUUGAGCCACGCACUGAUUAGGACCUCGUCAUCAGUCGGGGUCCAUUUACGUCGAGCAACACGGUCCACGGGUGUGCCUACUGGUGUGCCUACGGGUGUGUCUUCAGAUGGGUGAGAACUGAAAGGAGGGUUCUCGGAUUCUCCUAAGUGAACAUUAGAAUGGAAAGGGAAGUAGCUAGAGGACUGCGUAUAAAUAUUUCUUGGAUCCAUAUCAGUAAGAAGAGAGAAGAGAUUAAGAGGAGGUGGUAGAAGAGAAAAACUAGCUACGUAUAUUUAAGGGGGGCAUCAGAAGGGGUUUGAUUGGAGGAAGUGAAGAGUAAGUUAGCAAUAACUUACCCACUUAAUGACUAACCGGUAACAAGAUAUGUCUUAUCUAAAGUUAUUACACAAACAAAAAGCUAUCAACUAUCCUAACAAGAUCAUUAAUAUUUUGUUGGAUUUCAUUUCACACAAACUACCCUUUACAGCCUAACCUAUCUAAUCAAUACGAAGUAACCACGACAAUGGCUUUAAUAAACAGCGAAACAUUUACAAAACAAGUGUACUUUCACUAGAAAUUUAUUGUGUGGUUCAUUAAAAAUACACAGAUUUCAAACUAAAAAUACACAUUCAAAUCUUUCAAAUUCAAAUCAUCUAUACGAAUCCUCUAUAUGAAUAUCCAAUCAUCUGUACGAAUCCUGUAGCAAUACAUAUAUCAAAUCAUCUCUAGGAAGCCCUAAUCAAAUAUUCAAUCAAAUAAUCAAUACAAGUUUUCCAAUUUACAUCUAUACGAAACCCAAAUCAUAUACUCAAUCAAAUAAUCAAUACAAGUUUUCCAAUUUACAUCUAUACGAAAUCCUAAUCAAAUUUUCAAUCAAAUAAUAAUAUCGAGAAAGAAAGGAGGUGAAGGACAUACCUUCGUACGAUUGGGUCGAUUCUCACACGAUUGGGGAUGCUUGGGAAACGAACAGAACCGACGGUUUAGGUCUUCGUCAUUGGAGAUUUCAGAGUCGAUUUCGCCGUCGGAUGUGGAUCGCGCUUUCGGUUUCGGAAACAAGUCUUCGUCACCGGAGAUCGAUUAAGAGAUCACGUAGAAAGCUUCCUCCUCUGCUAAAUCACCUUCGCCGUUGCCUUUUGGAGUCGACUACAAGAGAAACACGAAGAGAGGAAAUGGAAAAGACGAUCCGUCUUCGAUAUCAUCGACCACUCCGGUGCUGCCACGUACCCACGAGGGACGACCCCGAGAAGCCCUUAAUCAAGGCCCGUUCGUCUCGUCCUUUGCCAUUUUUAUUUUUUUUUUAACCCAAAAUGGGUUAAGGGUCGGGCCCAAGGGCCGCCGAUAACGGUGGCCUUAGUUUCCAUGAAAUAAGUAUGCGUUAAAAAUAAAGAUUGAAUGAGUAUAGUCUAGUAGCUAUCAUCAAAUGUAACCUAGACGUUACUCUUUUUUAAUUUAUUCUUUUGUGAUAAGUUUUCCUUACACCAACCAUCUUUAUACAUUAAAAAAAAAGUUGAUCGGCUUCCAGAACAAUCUCUUGAGAAGAAUAGCAAAUAGAAUAAUGCCUUUGGCCCUUUGCAAGAUGCAUUAUAUAUAUAUAUCACUAGUUCUAACUACAAACACAUCAUCAUACAAUGAAUUAAAAACAAACUAAAGUUGAGAAUAAUUUCCUGAGAAACUUUAACUUAGCCUUUAGGCUUCUUUACUAUAUUCUGUUGAAUCUAUUCCCUUAUCCCUGCCCUUUUCUUUGGUUGGGUGGGAGCUUUAGUGUGAGUGGGCACUUCACAUUAAUGAUGCUUCGCAAUUAUGUAAUAUCUUCUAGGCCGUGUUUUCUGUUUAGUUUGGGACACCUACAGGGAUACCUUUUUUUAUCAUAUGUAAUAUCUUCUGGGCCUUGUUUUCUGGUUAGUUUGGGACACCUACAGUGAUCUGGUUAGUUUGGGACACCUACAGUGAUACCUUUUUAUCACAAAAAAACAUAUUGUCUUAAAUAUAUUUUCUAUUCACUUAAUUACACUUUCAAAUUUAUAUAUGUCUUAUCAUUCUUAUCUUAUAUCUCAAACUAAAUUAGAUUGUAACCAUCGCUAGCUUUAAUACACACUCACAAACAUGUUUUUCUAUGUAAAUCAAGCAUAUCAUGAUUUUUCAGCGUAUUCAAAGUCGAAUGUUGUGUUCAUAAACAAAAAAAUUGUAAAUGCAUACAGACACCCCAACCAAAAGAAUCUAUGAUUUAACACAGAAAAGAAAAACUAUAUGUAAAAAUAUUCUGCCUAUAUUUGAAUAUAAAUGUACAUGCAAGCAUUAUAUAUUCCUCCUCUUCAGCAUUCACCUAUAUUAUUAGGUUAGUCACACACUCAAUUCAUAAGUACUACUACUCACAUUUCUAUCUCCCUCUUUCUCUGAAACGUCUAGCAAAUGGGUUUGAAGCACUCUUCUUCUUCUUCCUUAUUCUUCCUUAUCCUUUUAUUCUUAUUACUUUCUUCUCAAGUCUCCUCACAAGCCUGCCUAAAAACAUGCGGCCAAAUACCCAUCAAGUACCCGCUUGGAACCGGGUCAGGUUGCGGUGACACACGUUUCACACGUUACAUCAAGUGCGACCCAGACCAGCAAACUCUAACGCUCACCACACACACAGGCUGCUACCCUAUCACGUCCGUCGACUACACCAAGCAAAUCAUCUACGUCACUGACUCGUCUAUGUCCACGUGUGCAUGUACCCGACCCAGCCAAGGAUUCGGGUUGGACUGGGACGCUCCGUUUUCUUUUCACGACGACACCGUUUUUACGCUUCUUGACUGUUCUGUUGACGAAUCCCCUGUUUUCAAGCCGUUAAGUAACAGUACCGGACGUGUCUCUCUAUGUGACCGUCAGAGCUCCUCUAUUUGUAACUUCUUGUACUCAAAUUGCAGGUAAACCAAAAUUCCUCUUUAAUUAAACCAGGCUAGUUGUUCUAUCUAAACCGAAAUAAAUUAAAUCAGUUUCCCAUUUUUUCUUGGAGAUAUCACAUAUGAGAUGGUCUAAGUCAUAAAAAUAUUAGAAAAAGUAUAUAUUUUCGGAAACUAAAAAUGGUAUGACAACACCUAUUUAAAUUGUAAUGAUCCCGGUUUACUAUUGAUUUUUUACUUACACCGGUUUAACUUUCCGGUUUAAUAGGGCCAUUAGUCUAAUAAACCUCCAAGAAUCAACAUGUUGCGUCUACGUACCCCUAGAUCUCGGACCAUCGUUUGAAAUGGACCUACAGAAGCUCCGGUGCUCUUCUUACUCCGGUUUCUACAAUCUUGGUCCGGCCCAAGAAUCUCACCCUGAAAAUUGGAACUAUGGAAUCGCACUCAAGUACAAGUUCAACGUCUUCGAUGAGUAUCCUGCCGUGUGUGGUGGCUGCGAGCGUAGUAACGGUGCUUGUGGAUACAACACUCAGACUAGCUCGUUCGUUUGUAACUGUCCCGGUGGGAUCAAUACGACGUCAGAUUGUUUCUUCCUUUAUAACUCGGCUUCUAUUGUUCUACCUUGGAUCUCAAGUAAGCACCACUUUCCAUACUAUUUCACAUAUUUUAGGCUCUUAGCUAUAACUUCUUUACUCCCAAUCAGCUUUUGCUUCAUUAAAAACUUGUUUUUACUUUGGGAUAAUUAAGCAAAAUAUUUGCCUAACAUAGUUUUCUUAAAUUAGCAGGAGCAUGGAUGAUGUACCCUAUGUCAUUGGUUGUAUUUUGGACAGUGAUGAGCCUUCCUUGAAGGAGUUGGAAUGGUUCGUACUGAAAGCUUAAUGAAUGGAAUCUUUGCGUCUUCUUUCUAUAUUCUUUGUGAUAACAUCACGUGACAAGAUUCCCUAUUGGUUGUCUGUGAUAUCAAUGAUGUAAUGGUUCGUAGUUUAAAAAGACAACCGUUUCACAUACAGUAAGAGAUACCAAAUACACAAAUUCAACAAAAGGAGAAACUAAUUAUAAGGAGAGAACAAAGUCUGUAAGAAAGGUCUAGAAGAAACACACAACAGCUGGAGAUGGUUACUAUUUCUUACUGCACAACUCCAACAUUAAAACAGAACUAACACUGAGAUGAGGCUGACUUUAAGCUUCAUCGUCAUCUUCAUCAUCGAGCUUAUAGGAACUAAAAUGAUCGACCCUAAACUUCCACUCCCCUUUCACAGGAUCAAACGAUACAAACUCAGCUCCUUGUGCCUCAGCUUUCCUCUUCAGCAUCAUCUUAUACUUCUCCACUCUCUCUCCUUCAGUAAACUGUUUCCCUGUCUUCUUAUCAAUACAUUUUAUAUUCAGCAAUGUUACCUCCGCCGGUUUAUUCAACCCUUGCCCCACCGCCGGUUUCUUGCUCUCGUCCAGGUACACAAUCACUUCUCGGUUAUUGAACUGAACCAGAGAUUCUAAGUCUAGUCUACGAACAUCAGUCUCUCCCAUGAACUUAAUGCUCCCAUAACCGUGUCGUCCCACCACAAAGUCUCUAACCCGCCUGCAAUAACCAGGAUCCGCUCUUUCCUUAGCCGCUAGUUCACGGAUACUUGGCUCCGUGAAAUAAUCGGAUUGGCGUAGCUUAGGCAAUAGCGCCUCGAUAUCUGUACCAUUCUCGUUAACAGUUGGGGCUUCUCCCUCUCGGUGUCCGCCUCGUGUUCUGGAGGGACGGUCUUUCUCUCGAGCGUGAUCUGUGCUGGUUGAGCCGUUUGAUAUCUGAUUUCCAUUGACAAAUGGGUGAGUUCUUUCUUCAGCAGCACCAACUUCUCCGUUAUCAUUCUCUGUGAAUAUUUUCACUCAAGUCAGUCAAAGAAUGGUCCAAAUAUGGCAAAACGUAAUGAAGCUUUUUUUUUUUACGUAUGCAUAUUUUAUAUACUUACUGUCGUGGUUUGCCGAAUCAGUAGCUAUUUCUGGACUCUUCCCUGAAAUUUACAGAUAAUAUUGUCAAAAAAAGAGAAAGGAAUCAUUGAACUCAGUAGUUAGUAUCAUUUUCGUGGUGAAGUUUUCUAAGAUACGAACAAAAGCUUACCAUUUUCAUGUGGUUGAGCAGUGGGGCGGUCCUUUGGAAUUGUAGAUUUGACCCUUGAAGACCACUGUUGAACUGGGCGUAUAACUAGAGCUCUAGGGUUCUCCCUCGGAAUGAAAAGAGCAUCUGCCUUUGGUGUACUUGAGGAGUUCUCCUCGUCAUCAGCGAAAAAUGGAACCUACAAAGACCAUUUUAAGAUUUAAACAUGUAGAACGAACAUGUAGCACCAACACUAAAAUUUAAGUAAAAUAUAGUGUGAGCAAUAAUUCACAAGACAGAUGCAUGCCUUUGGACCAUUGUCGCCAGGACGGUACUUUCUUGCCGGCAACCUGGCCCGCCUUUGUAGAAGGUGUCGAGAAGUUAAGAGAGAUGAUAUUCUAACAGGAACAGGUUUGUCAACAACCUGGCAGGAAAAGAAACAAUAAGAACAAAGAAGAAAAUGAAUGAAACGAACAAGAAGGAACGGAGUAGAGAAACUUUCAGGUAUGACAAUAGUUAAUUUCGAAAAAUAUCAAACUUUGAGGUAUGACUUUAAAACUUUAAUUUGUGAACUGGCAAGCAUCGAUGACAAUAGUUAAUUUAGAAAAAUAUCAAAUUUCUACUAAUAAGUUGAUAUCAGUUUUGAUUUAAACUUCAACUUAAAACUUCAAUAAAACUAUUUGAUUAUAUUUAGGAAAGACCGAAAGAGUUAAAAGAAAAAUUCACAAUCUGUGUAUUGCCGAAUGAAGAGUAGGCUUACAGGCAUGCUGGAGAUUCCAUAUUGAAUUGAAGGUGAAGUUCCACUUUGGUUUAUUGAGAUCUGAGGCAUAGCAGGAAGUGUUCCAAAUGGAUUUGUAACAGCAACGGGCUGCAAAACAACAGAGCUCGGCGGAGCAGGCCUGUCAACAAAAAAGGAUGAAAAUUGAGGCUCCAAUAGAGCAAAACAAAACUUCCACGAAACGAAAGUCAUGCAAGGACUGAUGUCAGAAAGACCAUACGUUUGCCCGAAGUUGCCUUGACCAAAAAAUCCCAGUCCACCAGCAUUUCCAGUUGCAUUAGCUUUAGACCACCAAUAUAGUAAGAGUUAGCAUCUAGAAAUAAGAUGAUACCGUCAGUGACUUGGUUGACAGAGGUACCUGCUUGUGCUUGACCGAAGUUGUUGAAACCAAAGCCAUUUGACGCUUGACCUGGCUGAGAUGAUUGGAAAGGUGUCAUACCAGCAGCCUACAGAAAAAAGUUCAAGCUAAGAAGGCCUAAAUCAGAUCAAAAGCGAAGUGCAGUAGCGGGUGUUAAUGAAGAGAAGUAAAAGAACUACUAACUGUGAAGAGAGCAGGCAUCACCAAAAGAAAUGAGAAAAAAAAAAAACUAAGUGCUUGGGCUUAAUAACGAAUACGAAAAACGAAUCACCAUUGUUUGUCCAAAGGGAGAGCUGCUAGACGUAGUUAAUGUUGAAGAACUUGAAAACAAGUUGCCAAACCCAGUGGAAGGUUUAUUGAAGAUGUUAGUUUGGCCAAAUGCAGGAGCACUACUCUGUCCGAACUGUCCAAAGGCAGAACCAGUCUGUCCAAAGGUAGAACCAGUCUGUCCAAAUGCAGAACCAGUCUGUCCAAAUGUAGAACCAGUCUGUCCGAUCGAGGGAUUUGAGCUGAACAGAUUAGAUGACUGAGUGUUCCCAAAUGCUGGAGUCGCCCCCUGAACAGGAGUUGAACCAAAUAUUGAUGGAGAAGAACCAAAUCCAGGAGUGCUCGACGAACCAAAUAACGGUGAUGAGGUGGUUGUUCCAAAAGCGGGGGAUGUUCCAAAGACGGAUGUGGUAGUUGAUGAAGUUGACCCAAAAAGAUUGGAUGAAGAUGUUACACCAAAGGGCGAGGAACCAAAAUUCGAGGUAGCCGUUCCAAAACCUGAACUGGCAAUUGUUGGGGUUUGAGGGGCAAAAGGAUUAGUAGACGUUGAGCUCGAAAAAGGGUUUGUUGGAUUUGCUGGUGUCUGACCAAACGCCGGUGAUGAAGAAAAAGGAUUUGGCUGAGCAGUUGAUACACCAAAUCCGGUAUUUCCAGCAGACUGGCCAGCAGGAAGCGGUCCACCUGAAAAUCCAUCUUUAUUAGAAAAAGUACAAGAAUAGAGCGUUAAGGAGAUGUAAUACAAGAUUUGUUUGAUAAAAUGUACCUUUAUCUCCUCGUUGGUAGUCUUCCCACCUUAGCUCCUCAUGGCUUUUUUCUUUGUAUGCCGGCAUGGCAGAAAUAGAUUCUAACUUUCCAGCAGGCGCACCACUGCCUGUCUCUGCCUCAACUGUUGGUGCAUAAGGCACGGCUCGACUGCCCGCUUGUUGUUGACCACCGAAAGGUGAUUGACCAAAACCAGAACUCCCAAAUGUUGGGGUUGAAGCCUGCCCACCUACAAAACAAAUCAUUCAAACAUAUUUCUUCAUCCUUUAUUCAAAUGACUAACACAGCAGUUAGUUUGUACAUGCUAAAGGGAGAACCUUGGGCUACCUUGGGCUCCAAAGGGAGAUGGUGUAGAGCCAAAUGCACUGCUGCCAAACGCUGAUGUGGACUGGCCAAAAGCUGGAGAGGAGCCAAAACUGAAGGAUGAGGUGUUUGAUGCACCAAAAGGAGGAGUACUGGAUGCUCCAAAGGCAGGGGAACUGGAUGCCCCAAAGGCAGGAGCGCCUGAUGCACCAAAAGCAGGAGUGGCUGAUGCACCAAAAGCAGGGGUGCUAGCAGCUCCAAAGCCAGUGUUGCCAAACGUGGUACCAGUGCUACCAAAGGCUGGAGUCGGUGAAGCUCCAAAUGCAGGUGUGUUUGUGGCGCCGAAGGUAUGUUGGUUUGAGGCGCCAAAGGCAGGCGUGCUUGUGGCACCAAAGGCAGGCGUGCUUGUAGCGCCAAAGGCAGGCGUGCUUGAUGCACCGAAGGCAGGCGUGCUCGCGGCACCAAAAGGUGUGGAUGAACCAAAAGUGCUGUUUCCAAAUGCAGGUUGCGAUUGCUGUGUUGUGCUUCCAAAAGGAUUUGACUGAGGUGUUGAAAAUCCCAGUGGUUUCUGCCCAAAAGCAGAAGACCCUGAAAAAAAGAACAAAGAAAUUAGCUUCGUCCCCAAACGCAAAUGUCAAACUGAAAACAUGGACUAACGAAAACCUAAACUAAAGAAAGGAAAACAACAAAUAUAGUUGGAGCAAAUAUCUAGAAAAAGCAGCAGAAAGAGAACCCAAAAAAAAGUGAACAGUUCUAGAAUAUUAAAUCUGGUAGUGACAAACAUUCUACAAACCACAGAACUGGAUACUGUGCACUAUAUAUCCGCAAACUAUCAAAAGGCCACCUCCUCAAGCAUCCAUAAAUCCAUGAUGUUAAAGACAGAAAAUACAUUCAUAUUGAGGAAAAAAACAAUAAAUCACUGAGAAAACUGACAAACCCCUGCGACGAAAGACGAAUAAGCUACUUACCACCAAAAGGUGAAGAUGCUGGAGAUGCUCCAAAAGCCGGAGUAGAAUUCCCAAAUGCUGGUGAUGAAGAAGCUCCAAAAGUUGGGGUGGAGCCAAACGGAGAGGAGGCCUGAGGUGCACCAAAAACACCGGUUGAAGUGCCACCAAAUAUUGAACCCCCUGUCUGUGCACCAAAAGGUGCAGACGUGCCGAACGGUGUUGCUGGAGCAAAGGGAUUAUUACUGCUAGAAUUGCUGGUCUGACCAAACAAAGAUUGGGUUUGGGACCCAAACGGGCUGCUACUAGAUGACUGUCCAAAAGCUACAAGAUUAAUAGUUCUUCAGCUCAGUUUUCUUUUGUAGCAUUACAAAAAUAUAUAAAACUAUUGAAAGAAAUAACGAAAGAGAAGGCUAACAGAAACCAACGAGUAAGAAUAAGAUAGGGAUCACUUACGAUUAGAUGAGCCAAACAUCUUCCUCUAUAGUUUCAAAACGCAGGACCCAGUCAAAAGAAAGUAUCUUAUCUUGUAGCUGGUAAAGAAAACGAAGAACUAUUAGGAUAAGAAAACAAAGAAACUAAAAAAGCAAAUAAGCAGCAGUGAAAGCUGGUUUUAUAAUUCAAACACAAUAAAACAUACAUAAACAAUGCUUGAAUUCAACAUUCUCAUGAUAUGAAGUAAAUGUACAGUAAGCCGGCAUAACUGAGACUCUGAGAGAUGACGAAUCUCUCUACACCUUAUGAACUAUGCAGUUUACUCACGAAACAAUUCAGCGAUAACGAACCUCUCUAAACAAAGGCAACAUCACAUAUAGAAACCAGCAACUCAGAAACUAGCUACGCAAAACGAAAUCGAAAUUAAUCGUGGCAUAUAAAACUUCAGCAUAUAACGAGCAAUCAAAAUUAAACCUGGAACUAAUCGUGAAUACAACAAACACAGCGAAAGAAAGAAUCGAAGAAAAACCUAUGAAUCCGAUGUAGAAAUUGACGAACAAGGUCACACACACACACACAAUGAAGCUCCGAACGUCGAAUUUGUUUCCUGCGUGGGAAGAAAUUGCGGUUCGGGAGUGAAAUCGCUAAACGACGUCGAAUCAAACGUGGAGUGGAAAUACUAGGGCGGAAAUGAACCUGGAAACGAAGAGCUCGAUCUUAAAAAUCGGCGGAGUAGGGAGAAAUCUCGCCGGAAAUUUGAAAGCGACGACAGUUGCAACUUGACAGAGCGAUGAAGGGCGAAGAUUGGCGUUUUGAGGACUUGUCUACCUGCUUGCGAUGGCUUCUUCACACGAUUUGUUUCUUUUAAUUAAUGUGAUUUAUUAUUCUAAUUUUUUCCUGCAAAUUUAGUAACUAAUACAAACUAUUUAGUAGACGGUAAGUUAUGAAUUGUGGGCCUGCAUCAAGGCCCAUUAUAAAUAAAUGACAUAAAAAGCGAUGAUGUCGGCCUGUGAAUCUUCUAAACUAUGUUGUUAUUCCUCUCUGCUCCUUCUUCUCCUCCCUCUCACGGCAAAUCACAAAUCUAAACUAGGUUUUUACCAAAUUAGCAUUUUGACAAACGUUCCAUGGAUUUAUUUUAUCAAUUGAUUAGCUUCCACCCAAGAAUGCAUCCAUUGCUAUCCAUCCUCAAAAGGUAGAAAUAUAAAAUAAAGACUUGACUAUAAGAUAAUCAUCAAGUUGGAUGAUUAAGAUUCCAAAUUUUUAUAUAUUCACUUAAGAAUCAUCACCCUUUUGUUGGGGGGGUUCUAAAAGGGAUGCUUUUUUUUUGUUUCUUCUUUUACAAGGAAAAAACAAAGGAGGAGAAAGAAUGGUGU